UUUGAUCCUGGCUCAGAACGAACGCUGGCGGCAGGCUUAACACAUGCAAGUCGAGCGCCCCGCAAGGGGAGCGGCAGACGGGUGAGUAACGCGUGGGAACGUACCCUUUUCUACGGAAUAACCCAGGGAAACUUGGACUAAUACCGUAUGUGCCCUUCGGGGGAAAGAUUUAUCGGAAAAGGAUCGGCCCGCGUUGGAUUAGCUAGUUGGUGGGGUAAAGGCCUACCAAGGCGACGAUCCAUAGCUGGUCUGAGAGGAUGAUCAGCCACAUUGGGACUGAGACACGGCCCAAACUCCUACGGGAGGCAGCAGUGGGGAAUAUUGGACAAUGGGCGCAAGCCUGAUCCAGCCAUGCCGCGUGAGUGAUGAAGGCCCUAGGGUUGUAAAGCUCUUUCACCGGUGAAGAUAAUGAC
RNAcentral lists this ribosomal RNA (413 nucleotides) under denitrifying bacterium W86b. Its description in RNAcentral is "bacterial SSU rRNA". It matches the Rfam family "Bacterial small subunit ribosomal RNA", at positions 12 to 455 of the family's 1533-position model. Lineage: Bacteria; Pseudomonadati; Pseudomonadota; Alphaproteobacteria. The record is from RNAcentral.